GACGAACGCUGGCGGCGUGCUUAACACAUGCAAGUCGAACGGAAAGGCCCUGCUUUUGUGGGGUGCUCGAGUGGCGAACGGGUGAGUAACACGUGAGUAACCGCCCUUGACCUUGGGAUAACUUUAGGAAACUGGGGCUAAUACCGGAUAGGAGCCCCUGCCGCCUGGGGGGGGUUGGAAAGUUUCGGCGGUUGGGGAUGGACUCGCGGCUUAUCAGCUUGUUGGUGGGGUAGUGGCUUACCAAGGCUUUGACGGGUAGCCGGCCUGAGAGGGUGACCGGCCACAUUGGGACUGAGAUACGGCCCAGACUCCUACGGGAGGCGGCAGUGGGGAAUAUUGCACAAUGGGCGGAAGCCUGAUGCAGCAACGCCGCGUGCGGGAUGACGGCCUUCGGGUUGUAAACCGCUUUCGCCUGUGACGAAGCGUGAGUGACGGUAAUGGGUAAAGAAGCACCGGCUAACUACGUG
RNAcentral lists this ribosomal RNA (467 nucleotides) under uncultured bacterium. RNAcentral's name for it is "partial 16S ribosomal RNA". It matches the Rfam family "Bacterial small subunit ribosomal RNA", at positions 28 to 507 of the family's 1533-position model. The record is from RNAcentral.